Molecule: transfer RNA, 91 nt
Filed under: Candidatus Aminicenantota bacterium
Lineage: Bacteria; Candidatus Aminicenantota
Also listed under: 1 other name
Description: tRNA-Leu
Rfam family: tRNA
About the family: Transfer RNA (tRNA) molecules are approximately 80 nucleotides in length. Their secondary structure includes four short double-helical elements and three loops (D, anti-codon, and T loops).
Source: RNAcentral
GCGGAAGUGGCGGAAUUGGCAGACGCGUAAGCCUCAGGAGCUUAUAGCCGAUUAUAAGGCUGUGUGGGUUCAAGUCCCACCUUCCGCACCA